This 787-nucleotide long non-coding RNA is filed under the name Dromaius novaehollandiae (emu). RNAcentral describes it as "lncRNA (ENSDNVG00000008543.1)". The record is from RNAcentral. Lineage: Eukaryota; Metazoa; Chordata; Aves; Casuariiformes; Dromaiidae.
ACUUUUUUCUAUCUUGGUAUUAGGAAGAAUAGUACUAAUUCCCAUAUGACAAUGAAUUUGACUCAAUAGCACCAAGAUAAAUGUAUUUUUCAUACUGUGGUAUAUAAUAAGCUAUUUAUAAGUAUCAUGUCACUUCUGGAUCAUCUUCAGGGUUCAAAAUAAAAUCUUAAUUUAAACAGUUUUUCAAAGUUGACAGAUACGAUAAAUACAUUUUUGUUCAGAUGAAACCUAAUUUUGACAAUGUUUUGCAAAAUUCAUUACAAGCUAAGGAUUAUUUCUCCGAUUUGUUGCUUUGUUUGUCUUCAUUUUCCAAUGUUUAGUUUAAUGUUACAUUCCAUUAUAGAAAAAACAUCUGUGGCUACAGUUCACCAAAGCCUCUGCUUAAGAGACAGGAGGACGCUCUUGCAGAUGAAGGAUAGAGGAAGGAGUUAGCAUUUGCCAUGGAGGCAUUAGGGGCAGUCGCAGCACUUCUCUGCACCAUUACGGGACAUCAUACUUUCCCUGCGGCUCCAUGCGACCAAAAGUAGUAACCACCUGGAGAUACUCUGCCUUGAAGGGACCCCUGGACACUUGGCCCUACGGAAUAGGGGAACUUUUCUGCGCUGAGGUAACUUGCUGCAGUUUUGCUGAACUGGGGAACCUUGGAUUUCCCUGCAGAAAUUUGUUUCUACCAGAAAAGAAAUUACUCUUCCCACAGUCCUUAGGAAGGAGGAAUAAAAUUCAUAUAUACUGGAUUGACACAUGCCUGAAUUUAAGUGGGAUCCCAUCCUUGCAUCCUCUGUGUGUU